UACGGAGGGUGCGAGCGUUAUUCGGAUUCACUGGGCGUAAAGAGCACGUAGGCUGUUUGGUAAGUCUGAUGUGAAAGCCCUCGACUUAAUCGAGGAAGUGCAUUGGAUACUGCCAAACUAGAGUGCAGGAGAGGAAGAUGGAAUUCCCGGUGUAGAGGUGAAAUUCGUAGAUAUCGGGAGGAACAACAGAGGCGAAGGCGAUCUUCUGGACUGUAACUGACGCUGAGGUGCGAAAGCGUGGGUAGCAAACAGG
Molecule: ribosomal RNA, 253 nt
Filed under: uncultured bacterium
Lineage: Bacteria
Description: partial 16S ribosomal RNA
Rfam family: Bacterial small subunit ribosomal RNA
Source: RNAcentral